Molecule: ribosomal RNA, 397 nt
Filed under: uncultured bacterium
Lineage: Bacteria
Description: bacterial SSU rRNA
Rfam family: Bacterial small subunit ribosomal RNA
Source: RNAcentral
GGCCGCGGGAAUUCGAUUCAGGCCUAACACAUGCAAGUCGAGCGGUAGAGAGAAGCUUGCUUCUCUUGAGAGCGGCGGACGGGUGAGUAAUGCCUAGGAAUCUGCCUGGUAGUGGGGGAUAACGUCCGGAAACGGACGCUAAUACCGCAUACGUCCUACGGGAGAAAGCAGGGGACCUUCGGGCCUUGCGCUAUCAGAUGAGCCUAGGUCGGAUUAGCUAGUUGGUGGGGUAAUGGCUCACCAAGGCGACGAUCCGUAACUGGUCUGAGAGGAUGAUCAGUCACACUGGAACUGAGACACGGUCCAGACUCCUACGGGAGGCAGCAGUGGGGAAUAUUGGACAAUGGGCGAAAGCCCGAUCCAGCCAAGGCGCGUGUGUGAAGAAGGUCUUCGGAUG